RNAcentral lists this ribosomal RNA (460 nucleotides) under uncultured bacterium. RNAcentral describes it as "partial 16S ribosomal RNA". It matches the Rfam family "Bacterial small subunit ribosomal RNA", at positions 338 to 795 of the family's 1533-position model. The record is from RNAcentral.
CCUACGGGUGGCAGCAGUGAGGAAUAUUGGUCAAUGGGCUUACGCCUGAACCAGCCAAGUCGCGUGAGGGAAGACUGCCCUAUGGGUUGUAAACCUCUUUUGUCCGGGGGCAAUUGGCGCUACGUGUAGCGUUAUCGAGAUUACCUGUAAAAAAAGCAUCGGCUAACUCCGUGUCAGCAGCCGCGGUAAUACGGAGGAUUCGAGCGUUAUCCGAAUUUAUGGGGUUUAAGGGGUGCGUAGGCGGAAUGACAAGUCAGCGGGAAAAUCGCGGGGCUCAACCUCGCUCCGCCGUUGAAACUGGCGUUCUUGAGUGGGCGGGAGGCAUGCGGAAUGCGUGGUGUAGCGGUGAAAUGCAUAGAUAUCACGCAGAACUCCGAUUGCGAAGGCAGCAUACCGGAGCCCAACUGACGCUGAAGCACGAAAGCGUGGGUAUCGAACAGGAUUAGAUACCCGUGUAGUC